AUAUUACUCCCUCCGUCCGGAAAUACUUGUCGCAUAAAUGGAUAAGCAUGGAUGUAUCUAGAACUAAAAUACGUAUAGAUACAUACAUUUCGCUGACAAGUAUUUUCGAACGGAGGGAGUAGAAC
Non-coding RNA from Triticum aestivum (bread wheat), 125 nucleotides. NCBI's taxonomy places the organism in Eukaryota, Viridiplantae, Streptophyta, Magnoliopsida, Poales, Poaceae. The record is from Rfam.